AGCAGCAACUCAUAUGGACAGUCUGUUUCAACUGUAUCAGAUACCAAAAAGACUUUUCAGUAUCCUCCUAGCAAGCCCUACCCACCUGAACGUACAUCAAUCACAUCGCAACUUGCCAACUCUCACUAUAAGCAUAUUCAGAGCACUCAAUAUGGCAGCAAAGUACAGACCCAGAGUUCACAACCUCAAAGUGGAAUCCGUAUUACCAUCCAG
This is a long non-coding RNA of Heteronotia binoei (common prickly gecko), 213 nucleotides long. RefSeq lists it as uncharacterized. The record is from RefSeq and is a predicted model, not a curated record. The transcript has 7 exons. Lineage: Eukaryota; Metazoa; Chordata; Lepidosauria; Squamata; Gekkonidae.